GACGAACGCUGGCGGCGUGCUUAACACAUGCAAGUCGAACGGAAAGGCCCUGCUUUUGUGGGGUGCUCGAGUGGCGAACGGGUGAGUAACACGUGAGUAACCUGCCCUUGACUUUGGGAUAACUUCAGGAAACUGGGGCUAAUACCGUAUAGGAGCUCCUGCUGCAUGGUGGGGGUUGGAAAGUUUCGGCGGGUGGGGAUGGACGCGCGGCUUAUCAGCUUGUUGGUGGGGUAGUGGCUUACCAAGGCUUUGACGGGUCGCCGGCCUGAGAGGGUGACCGGCCACAUUGGGACUGAGAUACGGCCCAGAGUCGUACGGGAGGCAGCAGUGGGGAAUAUUGCCCAGUGGGAGGAAGCCUGAUGCAGAAACGCCGCGUGCGGGAUGACGGUUUUCGGGUUGUAAACCGCUUUCGCCUGUGACGAAGCGUGAGUGACGGUAAUGGGUAAAGAAGCACCGGCUAACUACGUG
Molecule: ribosomal RNA, 468 nt
Filed under: uncultured bacterium
Lineage: Bacteria
Description: partial 16S ribosomal RNA
Rfam family: Bacterial small subunit ribosomal RNA
Source: RNAcentral